CCUGCAGAAAAUGGGUUUUUAAUAGAGUUUGGUUUUUCUAUCACCUCUUUGCUGCGCUGCUUUAAAUCUCGUUCCACACAGAAGCUUUGCACAGCCACUGGGGCUGAGCACAGCCAUCGUGCUGGGGAGACGCAGAGUGGAGGAAAACCAGACCCCAAUGGAUCCCAAUGGCUGGGGGGGAUACGUGGCAUCCCCUCGAGGGACAGCUGGGCCCGGCUGGAUGUGGCUGUGAGCACGCAGGGCUGGGACGCGCCGUGCAGACGCGGUCAUUGCUCUCAUCAGAAAUAAACAGGAAGAUGGGAUGAGCCUCAGCCAAGGGCUUGGGCAAUGAGGGGCUGUGCAGGGGCAGCAGGACUGCAGCUCCCAGCUCCAGCCAGCAGCAAGUCCCUACAGGAGAGCAUCCACACACAGUGUCCAGGGGGAGAACAUCGAGGGAAAUAAGGCAGUGAGCAGAGCAGGAGAGCCUCCACCCAUCUCUGCCCUUCAGCUCCAGGCCUGGCUCCUUGUGCCCAUCCAGCGCCGCAUCCACAUCCAGCACCACGCAGAGCAGUUUCCUGCAGGAAAACCACAGACUUCCAAGGGCUGCAGGUGUCGGUUCCGUGUUGUCCCCCACUCGAGCACAGAUCACAUCCCACAGCACCCCCUGCCCCUGCUCAGCCCUCAUUGACUACUGAAGCCCCGCUGCUGCUGGGGGGCUGCGCUGCUUUCCCCCUCCCCACCUCACCCUCUCCUACCUUUCCCUCCCGAGUUGCUCCCGGCCCCGAAAUCACAGCCUCGAAUAUUAAAAAAGGUCAGGCUUCAGCUCUGGUGAAGUAGCAGAAAUCAGGGCAGCGUGAAGAGCAGCAGCACAGCGGGACCGCGAGCGGGGUGAGAGGAUAUGGGGGUCCCGGUGCCGUGCCCCCGGCACCUCUCACCCCAACAACGUUUGUGCCAUUCCCCACCACCUCUGGCUCAGUCACUGACAAUUAAAUUUAAUGAUGCCUUUAAGAAAUAAUAGCGUAUGCUGUUUGAAUGGGGCUGCCUGGAGCGGGGCGGGUUGCUGCUUAUUGGGAUGGGCGACGGGGGUGUGUGUGGAUGGGUGGUGACCCCGUAGCGUUUCCCUGCCCAAGGAACUGCCCAACGGGGCCCAGAUCCCCUCGUGAU
Long non-coding RNA from Gallus gallus (chicken), 1143 nucleotides. The record is from Ensembl. NCBI's taxonomy places the organism in Eukaryota, Metazoa, Chordata, Aves, Galliformes, Phasianidae.